AGAGUUUGAUCAUGGCUCAGAAUCAACGCUGGCGGCGUGCCUAACACAUGCAAGUCGCACGAGAAAGUGGAGCAAUCCAUGAGUAAAGUGGCGCACGGGUGAGUAACACGUGAAUUAUCUACCUCCGAGUGGGGAAUAACUGAGAGAAAUCUUAGCUAAUACCGCAUAACACUUACGAGUCAAAGCAGCAAUGCGCUUGGAGAGGAGUUCGCGGCCGAUUAGUUAGUUGGCGGGGUAAUGGCCCACCAAGACGAUGAUCGGUAUCCGGCCUGAGAGGGCGCACGGACACACUGGAACUGAAACACGGUCCAGACUCCUACGGGAGGCAGCAGUGGGGAAUUUUGCGCAAUGGGGGAAACCCUGACGCAGCAACGCCGCGUGGAGGAUGAAAUCCCUUGGGAUGUAAGCUCCUUUCGAUAGGGAAGAUAAUGACGGUACCUAUAGAAGAAGCCCCGGCUAACUUCGUGCCAGCAGCCGCGGUAAUACGAGGGGGGCAAGCGUUGUUCGGAAUUAUUGGGCGUAAAGGGUGCGUAGGCGGUUUGACAAGUCUGAUGUGAAAUCUAUGGGCUCAACCCAUAGUCUGCAUUAGAAACUGUCGGGCUUGAGUAUGGGAGAGGUGAGUGGAAUUUCCGGUGUAGCGGUGAAAUGCGUAGAUAUCGGAAGGAACACCUGUGGCGAAAGCGGCUCACUGGACCAUUACUGACGCUGAUGCACGAAAGCUAGGGGAGCAAACAGGAUUAGAUACCCUAGUAGUCC
This 756-nucleotide ribosomal RNA is filed under the name uncultured bacterium. Its description in RNAcentral is "bacterial SSU rRNA". It matches the Rfam family "Bacterial small subunit ribosomal RNA", at positions 8 to 796 of the family's 1533-position model. The record is from RNAcentral.